This 363-nucleotide long non-coding RNA is filed under the name Mytilus galloprovincialis (Mediterranean mussel). Lineage: Eukaryota; Metazoa; Mollusca; Bivalvia; Mytilida; Mytilidae. The record is from RNAcentral.
GGUGCAAAAACCAAUAAAAAUGCUUAUUUGGGCCCCUUUUUGGCCCCUAAUUCCUAAACUGUUGGGACCUUAACUUCCAAAAUCAAUCCCAACCUUCCUUUUGUGGUCAUAAACCUUGUGUUAUUGUUAUUGGGGUGUGCUUGACUUUAGUGACUCAGCAUGAGUAGGUGGUUUAGGACUUUUUGUAAACAAUAAACGCAGCACAUCAUAGAGAAACAAGUCGGGACUAUGUUUAACAGGUUGGGAACAACCCCUCAAUGUAAUGACUGUCCAUUUUAUCAUAGGUACAUUUCAAGUGAUAAUUUUAUUUUUUUUUAUACAAAAAACACUUUUUAGUACAAAUAAGCAUUUAUUAACUUAUUU